This 320-nucleotide ribosomal RNA is filed under the name uncultured eukaryote. RNAcentral's name for it is "partial 18S ribosomal RNA". It matches the Rfam family "Eukaryotic small subunit ribosomal RNA", at positions 1470 to 1796 of the family's 1831-position model. The record is from RNAcentral.
UCCUUAGAUGUUCUGGGCCGCACGCGUACUACACUGAUGCAAGCAAUAAGUUUCUACUCCGAAAGGAAAUAGGUAAUCUUUUUAAACUGCAUCGUGCUUGGGAUAGACUUUUGCAAUUAUAGGUCUUGAACGAGGAAUUCCUAGUAAGCAUGGGUCAUCAGCCCAUGUUGAUUACGUCCCUGCCCUUUGUACACACCGCCCGUCGCUCCUACCGAUUGGAUGAUCCGGUGAGCUAUUCGGACCUUCGCUUCGUCGAUUUUCGGCUUUGUGAGGGAAAGUCUCGCGAACCUUAUCAUCUAGAGGAAGGAGAAGUCGUAACA